GAUGAACGCUGGCGGCGUGCCUAAUACAUGCAAGUCGAGCGAACAGACGAGGAGCUUGCUCCUCUGACGUUAGCGGCGGACGGGUGAGUAACACGUGGAUAACCUACCUAUAAGACUGGGAUAACUUCGGGAAACCGGAGCUAAUACCGGAUAAUAUAUUGAACCGCAUGGUUCAAUAGUGAAAGACGGUUUUGCUAUCACUUAUAGAUGGAUCCGCGCCGCAUUAGCUAGUUGGUAAGGUAACGGCUUACCAAGGCGACGAUGCGUAGCCGACCUGAGAGGGUGAUCGGCCACACUGGAACUGAGACACGGUCCAGACUCCUACGGGAGGCAGCAGUAGGGAAUCUUCCGCAAUGGGCGAAAGCCUGACGGAGCAACGCCGCGUGAGUGAUGAAGGUCUUCGGAUCGUAAAACUCUGUUAUUAGGGAAGAACAAAUGUGUAAGUAACUAUGCACGUUUUGACGGUACCUAAUCAGAAAGCCACGGCUAACUACGUG
Molecule: ribosomal RNA, 497 nt
Filed under: uncultured bacterium
Lineage: Bacteria
Description: partial 16S ribosomal RNA
Rfam family: Bacterial small subunit ribosomal RNA
Source: RNAcentral